GUGGGGAAUAUUGGGCAAUGGGGGCAACCCUGACCCAGCAACGCCGCGUGAGGGAAGAAGGUUUUCGGAUUGUAAACCUCUGUCCUAUGGGAAGAAGGAAGUGACGGUACCAUAGGAGGAAGCCCCGGCUAACUACGUGCCAGCAGCCGCGGUAAUACGUAGGGGGCGAGCGUUGUCCGGAAUUACUGGGCGUAAAGGGUGCGCAGGUGGCCUGACAAGUCAGAUGUGAAAUACCGAUGCUUAACGUCGGGGCUGCAUUUGAAACUAUGAGGCUGGAGUGCAGGAGAGGGAAGCGGAAUGCCUAGUGUAGCGGUGAAAUGCAUAGAUAUUAGGAGGAACACCAGUGGCGAAGGCGGCUUUCUGGACUGUAACUGACACUGAGGCACGAAAGCGUGGGGAGCAAACAGGAUUAGAAACCCCUGUAGUCC
Molecule: ribosomal RNA, 428 nt
Filed under: uncultured bacterium
Lineage: Bacteria
Description: partial 16S ribosomal RNA
Rfam family: Bacterial small subunit ribosomal RNA
Source: RNAcentral